RNAcentral lists this ribosomal RNA (314 nucleotides) under uncultured bacterium. RNAcentral's name for it is "partial 16S ribosomal RNA". It matches the Rfam family "Bacterial small subunit ribosomal RNA", at positions 28 to 412 of the family's 1533-position model. The record is from RNAcentral.
GACGAACGCUGGCGGCGUGCUUAACACAUGCAAGUCGAACGAGUGGCGAACGGGUGAGUAACACGUGGGUGAUCUGCCUUGCACUUCGGGAUAAGCUUGGGAAACUGGGUCUAAUACCGGAUAGUGCAAGAUGAGCUCGCGGCCUAUCAGCUUGUUGGUGGGGUAAUGGCUACCAAGGCGCGACGGGUAGCCGGCCUGAGAGGGUGUACGGCCACAUUGGGACUGAGAUACGGCCCAGACUCCAACGGGAAGCAGCAUUGGGGUAUAUUGCACAAUGGGCGGAAGCCAGAUGAAGCGACGCGGCGCGGUAAUAC